CCUACGGGAGGCUGCAGUGAGGAAUAUUGGUCAAUGGACGCAAGUCUGAACCAGCCAUGCCGCGUGCAGGAUGACGGCUCUAUGAGUUGUAAACUGCUUUUGUACGAGGGUAAACCCCGAUACGUGUAUCGGGUUGAAAGUAUCGUACGAAUAAGGAUCGGCUAACUCCGUGCCAGCAGCCGCGGUAAUACGGAGGAUCUGAGCGUUAUCCGGAUUUAUUGGGUUUAAAGGGUGCGUAGGCGGUUUGAUAAGGUAGAGGUGAAAUGUCGGGGCUCAACCCCGAAACUGCCUCUAAUACUGUUGGACUAGAGAAUACGUGCGGUAGGCGGAAUGUAUGGUGUAGCGGUGAAAUGCUUAGAGAUCAUACAGAACACCGAUUGCGAAGGCAGCGUACCAAACUAUAUCUGACGUUGAGGCACGAAAGCGUGGGUAGCGAACAGGAUUAGAUACCCGGGUAGUC
RNAcentral lists this ribosomal RNA (460 nucleotides) under uncultured bacterium. RNAcentral's name for it is "partial 16S ribosomal RNA". It matches the Rfam family "Bacterial small subunit ribosomal RNA", at positions 338 to 795 of the family's 1533-position model. The record is from RNAcentral.